CGGCAUCUGCAAGGCAAGUGAGCGAUAAUCCGAAUCCAUCUAAAUAAAGGUUGGCCUCGGCCGCCGCCGGAUGGUAUAAAGCGGUGUUCACAAUCCAGUAAGAGGACCAGCUGUUGUAGAGGAUCGAGCUGACCAGCUACUAAAACUUGGUCCCCGACGAGCUGUGCCGAUGAUGUGUUCAAGAUUUCGGUCCCACCUGUAACCCACCGCCAUGGCUGAGGAAGGCACCAAUGCUUCAGGUGUCACGGACGUCAACCCUGCUUUCUAAGAGGUGCUGAAGACCGCCCUCAUCCACGGGGCCUAGCACGUGGAAAAUGCGAAGCAGACAAGCGCCAGGCCCAUCUUUGUGGGCUUGCAUCCAAUCGUGAUGAGCCUCAACACCACACCGACCUCCUUAAGGUUCAUGACAAGAAACUAGGAGAAUGGGCAGUUUGAUAGAGAAGGAAAACUUGAUAGAGAAGGAAAAUUCUUGAAAGUGGUCGCUUGUAGUUGUGUGGUUGUUAAGGACCAUGGCAAAGAAUCUCAAGCCAAGGAUGUUAUUGAAGAAUACUUUAAAUGCAAAAAUGACUUUGCGAAUUGUUUUAAUAAAACAAAACCAAACUA
Echinops telfairi (small Madagascar hedgehog) is the source of this 603-nucleotide long non-coding RNA. RefSeq lists it as uncharacterized. The record is from RefSeq and is a predicted model, not a curated record. The transcript is spliced from 2 exons. NCBI's taxonomy places the organism in Eukaryota, Metazoa, Chordata, Mammalia, Afrosoricida, Tenrecidae.